This 2235-nucleotide ribosomal RNA is filed under the name Salmonella enterica. RNAcentral's name for it is "bacterial LSU rRNA". It matches the Rfam family "Bacterial large subunit ribosomal RNA", at positions 594 to 2812 of the family's 2925-position model. The record is from RNAcentral. RNAcentral also lists the same sequence under 1 other name. Lineage: Bacteria; Pseudomonadati; Pseudomonadota; Gammaproteobacteria; Enterobacterales; Enterobacteriaceae.
UGACUGCGUACCUUUUGUAUAAUGGGUCAGCGACUUAUAUUCUGUAGCAAGGUUAACCGAAUAGGGGAGCCGGAGGGAAACCGAGUCUUAAUUGGGCGUUAAGUUGCAGGGUAUAGACCCGAAACCCGGUGAUCUAGCCAUGGGCAGGUUGAAGGUUGGGUAACACUAACUGGAGGACCGAACCGACUAAUGUUGAAAAAUUAGCGGAUGACCUGUGGCUGGGGGUGAAAGGCCAAUCAAACCGGGAGAUAGCUGGUUCUCCCCGAAAGCUAUUUAGGUAGCGCCUCGUGAAUUCAUCUCCGGGGGUAGAGCACUGUUUCGGCUAGGGGGCCAUCCCGGCUUACCAACCCGAUGCAAACUGCGAAUACCGGAGAAUGUUAUCACGGGAGACACACGGCGGGUGCUAACGUCCGUCGUGAAGAGGGAAACAACCCAGACCGCCAGCUAAGGUCCCAAAGUCAUGGUUAAGUGGGAAACGAUGUGGGAAGGCCCAGACAGCCAGGAUGUUGGCUUAGAAGCAGCCAUCAUUUAAAGAAAGCGUAAUAGCUCACUGGUCGAGUCGGCCUGCGCGGAAGAUGUAACGGGGCUAAACCAUGCACCGAAGCUGCGGCAGCGACGCUGAUGCGUUGUUGGGUAGGGGAGCGUUCUGUAAGCCUGCGAAGGUGGCCUGUGAGGGUUGCUGGAGGUAUCAGAAGUGCGAAUGCUGACAUAAGUAACGAUAAAGCGGGUGAAAAGCCCGCUCGCCGGAAGACCAAGGGUUCCUGUCCAACGUUAAUCGGGGCAGGGUGAGUCGACCCCUAAGGCGAGGCCGAAAGGCGUAGUCGAUGGGAAACGGGUUAAUAUUCCCGUACUUGGUGUUACUGCGAAGGGGGGACGGAGAAGGCUAUGUUGGCCGGGCGACGGUUGUCCCGGUUUAAGCGUGUAGGUGUGUGUUCCAGGUAAAUCCGGUUCACUUUAACACUGAGGCGUGAUGACGAGGCACUACGGUGCUGAAGCAACAAAUGCCCUGCUUCCAGGAAAAGCCUCUAAGCAUCAGGUAACAUCAAAUCGUACCCCAAACCGACACAGGUGGUCAGGUAGAGAAUACCAAGGCGCUUGAGAGAACUCGGGUGAAGGAACUAGGCAAAAUGGUGCCGUAACUUCGGGAGAAGGCACGCUGACACGUAGGUGAAGUGAUUUACUCAUGGAGCUGAAGUCAGUCGAAGAUACCAGCUGGCUGCAACUGUUUAUUAAAAACACAGCACUGUGCAAACACGAAAGUGGACGUAUACGGUGUGACGCCUGCCCGGUGCCGGAAGGUUAAUUGAUGGGGUCAGCGCAAGCGAAGCUCCUGAUCGAAGCCCCGGUAAACGGCGGCCGUAACUAUAACGGUCCUAAGGUAGCGAAAUUCCUUGUCGGGUAAGUUCCGACCUGCACGAAUGGCGUAAUGAUGGCCAGGCUGUCUCCACCCGAGACUCAGUGAAAUUGAACUCGCUGUGAAGAUGCAGUGUACCCGCGGCAAGACGGAAAGACCCCGUGAACCUUUACUAUAGCUUGACACUGAACAUUGAGCCUUGAUGUGUAGGAUAGGUGGGAGGCUUUGAAGUGUGGACGCCAGUCUGCAUGGAGCCGACCUUGAAAUACCACCCUUUAAUGUUUGAUGUUCUAACGUGGACCCGUGAUCCGGGUUGCGGACAGUGUCUGGUGGGUAGUUUGACUGGGGCGGUCUCCUCCUAAAGAGUAACGGAGGAGCACGAAGGUUGGCUAAUCCUGGUCGGACAUCAGGAGGUUAGUGCAAUGGCAUAAGCCAGCUUGACUGCGAGCGUGACGGCGCGAGCAGGUGCGAAAGCAGGUCAUAGUGAUCCGGUGGUUCUGAAUGGAAGGGCCAUCGCUCAACGGAUAAAAGGUACUCCGGGGAUAACAGGCUGAUACCGCCCAAGAGUUCAUAUCGACGGCGGUGUUUGGCACCUCGAUGUCGGCUCAUCACAUCCUGGGGCUGAAGUAGGUCCCAAGGGUAUGGCUGUUCGCCAUUUAAAGUGGUACGCGAGCUGGGUUUAGAACGUCGUGAGACAGUUCGGUCCCUAUCUGCCGUGGGCGCUGGAGAACUGAGGGGGGCUGCUCCUAGUACGAGAGGACCGGAGUGGACGCAUCACUGGUGUUCGGGUUGUCAUGCCAAUGGCACUGCCCGGUAGCUAAAUGCGGAAGAGAUAAGUGCUGAAAGCAUCUAAGCACGAAACUUGCCCCGAGAUGAGUUCU